GGGGAUUUAGCUCAGCGGCAUAAGCGCCUGCCUUGCAAGCAGGCAGGCCUGAGUUCGAUCCCCAGUACCG
This is a non-coding RNA of Cavia porcellus (domestic guinea pig), 70 nucleotides long. The record is from Rfam. NCBI's taxonomy places the organism in Eukaryota, Metazoa, Chordata, Mammalia, Rodentia, Caviidae.